Molecule: ribosomal RNA, 484 nt
Filed under: uncultured bacterium
Lineage: Bacteria
Description: partial 16S ribosomal RNA
Rfam family: Bacterial small subunit ribosomal RNA
Source: RNAcentral
GUUGAACGCUGGCGGCAGGCCUAACACAUGCAAGUCGAGCGGAUGAAGGGAGCUUGCUCCUGGCUUCAGCGGCGGACGGGUGAGUAAUGCAUAGGAAUCUGCCUGGUAGUGGGGGAUAACGUCCGGAAACGGGCGCUAAUACCGCAUCCGUCCUGAGGGAGAAAGUGGGGGAUCUUCGGAGCACACGCUAUCAGAUGAGCCUAGGUCGGAUUAGCUAGUUGGUGGGGUAAAGGCCUACCAAGGCGACGAUCCGUAACUGGUCUGAGAGGAUGAUCAGCCACACUGGAACUGAGACACGGUCCAGACUCCUACGGGAGGCAGCAGUGGGGAAUAUUGGACAAUGGGCGAAAGCCUGAUCCAGCCAUGCCGCGUGUGUGAAGAAGGUCUUCGGAUUGUAAAGCACUUUAAGUUGGGAGGAAGGGCAGUAAGUUAAUACCUUGCUGUUUUGACGUUACCAACAGAAUAAGCACCGGCUAACUUCGUG